Molecule: ribosomal RNA, 253 nt
Filed under: uncultured bacterium
Lineage: Bacteria
Description: partial 16S ribosomal RNA
Rfam family: Bacterial small subunit ribosomal RNA
Source: RNAcentral
UACGGGGGGGGCAAGCGUUGUUCGGAAUUACUGGGCGUAAAGGGCUCGUAGGUGGCCAACUAAGUCGGACGUGAAAUCCCUCGGCUUAACCGGGGAACUGCGUCUGAUACUGGAUGGCUUGAGUUCGGGAGAGGGAUGCGGAAUUCCAGGUGUAGCGGUGAAAUGCGUAGAUAUCAGGAGGAACACCAAUAGCGAAGGCAGCUCGCUGGGACGGUACUGACGCUGAGGCGCGAAAGCGUGGGGAGCGAACAGG